This 510-nucleotide long non-coding RNA is filed under the name Aotus nancymaae (Ma's night monkey). Its description in RNAcentral is "lncRNA (ENSANAG00000039000.1)". Lineage: Eukaryota; Metazoa; Chordata; Mammalia; Primates; Aotidae. The record is from RNAcentral.
GCUGGAAUUGCACCACUGGCCAAUAGGAUUGCAGAAUCCAAACUGUUUUCUACCAGAACUACUCCUUCCCUGCAGAAAGCAGGCUGUGCACGGCUGAACCCUAGUCUGAGAAGGUUGAAGACAUUGACUCAGCCCCAGCAAGGAAGUUAUCCCUCGACUUCUGACCUCUGGCCCUGUUUGAAAACCAACUCAAAUCAUUUUUCAUUUUCAGGUAUGCUGCUCCAAAGCAAUGGCGUGGUUAUUUCUACACAACAAACAUCACAAUUAGUGAUUACAGAGGGAUGGAAUUGGCAAAAGAAUAUCAUGGGUCUACAUGAGCAUGGAGCUGAUAGAAGAAACUGUCAAAUGCAAUUUAAAAGAACACAGUCCUUGUAAUGUAGGGGUGUGCAGAGACAGAAUACAUCUUGAACCAGAACACUAAGGGAGUGCUUGGACGGAACCGGCGCUGGUCCCCAACCCCGGCCGGCUGCCCAUAGCCAGCCCUCCAUCACCUCCACACCGCGCCCUCGG